AGAUUGAACGCUGGCGGCAUGCUUUACACAUGCAAGUCGAACGGCAGCACGGGGGCAACCCUGGUGGCGAGUGGCGAACGGGUGAGUAAUGCAUCGGAACGUAUCUUUAAGUGGGGGAUAACGCAUCGAAGAUGCGCUAAUACCGCAUAAUCUCCGAGGAGAAAAGCAGGGGAUCGCAAGACCUUGCGCUUUUGGAGCGGCCGAUGUCUGAUUAGUCUUGUUGGUGAGGUAAAGGCUUACCGAAGGCUUCGAUCAGUAGCUGGUCUGGAGGAGGACCGACCGACGCCACACGUGGGACUGAGACGACCGGCCCAGGCCUACCGUACGGGA
This 330-nucleotide ribosomal RNA is filed under the name uncultured soil bacterium. RNAcentral's name for it is "bacterial SSU rRNA". It matches the Rfam family "Bacterial small subunit ribosomal RNA", at positions 26 to 346 of the family's 1533-position model. The record is from RNAcentral.